RNAcentral lists this long non-coding RNA (866 nucleotides) under Salmo salar (Atlantic salmon). RNAcentral's name for it is "lncRNA (ENSSSAG00000102366.1)". Lineage: Eukaryota; Metazoa; Chordata; Actinopteri; Salmoniformes; Salmonidae. The record is from RNAcentral.
GCUUCAACUAGUUUACAUGAACCAUACUUAUAGUCCUACUCCAGUCUCACUUUCAGAUCAUUUAUCAUCUGAUUUACUUAACUAGAUGUCCAUCUCAAUAGGUGGUCUAGGUAUCUUCUGACUCCUCUGACAUGGCACCAUCAGACCGAAUCCUUGAAUGGCCUACUCCAUUAAGUUGUUUUAAACCUUUACUGUAUCUGUGUGAUAAAGUAAAACAAUCACUGGAGUGCAUCUUUAAGUGAGAUCCAUCACUCCUCUAGUCACUUACACACAUUAUGUCAGGUAGAGUGUAGAUGUUAGUUCAGGCAGAGUGUAGAUGUUAGUUCAGGCAGAGUGUAGAUGUUAGUUCAGGCAGAGUGUAGAUGUUAGUCCAGGCAGAGUGUAGAUGUUAGUCCAGGCAGAGUGUAGAUGUUAGUCCAGGCAGAGUGUAGAUGUUAGUCCAGGCAGAGUGUAGAUGUUAGUUCAGGCAGAGUGUAGAUGUUAGUCCAGGCAGAGUGUAGAUUAAGGACAGUAGAUGGACACCCAACCCACACAUACACACAUGUUUUAAGUGAUGUCACAUCCUGCCACUAAUGAAGGACUUCUGAGGUAUGUAGCACAUUGAGGGAAAAUUCCCCACAUUCUUCCCCCCACAGAGUACUUGUAGAGAAGAGACAUGGGUUAAGGUCAAUGCAAGGUUAACAGGCUAAGUGGCUAAUAUGCUUUGAGAAUACAAUACAGGCCGUAAUCAAUCUGAGGCAUCCAUUGUUAUGGUCUGUAGAAUGUUUAGAAUGUUGUCAGUCUAUGGAGACCAGUAUAAUUGACUGUAGCCGUGAGAGCUGACCGGCUCUGUAUGUGUAUGUGUGUGUGUGUAUGUGUGUGUGUGU